CGGCAGACGAGGUAGUAACGCGUAGGUACAUACCUAGAAGUCAGGGAUACUCCGGAGAAAUCCGGCAUAAUACUUGAUAGUCCCUAAGGGGUAAAGAUUUAUCGCUUCUAGAGUGGCCUGCGUAGUAUCAGCUUGUUGGUAAGGUAAUGGCUUACCAAGGCUACGACGCUUAGGGGGGGUGAGAGCCCGAUCCCCACCGAUGGGACUGAGACACGGCCCAUACUCC
Molecule: ribosomal RNA, 226 nt
Filed under: uncultured bacterium
Lineage: Bacteria
Description: partial 16S ribosomal RNA
Rfam family: Bacterial small subunit ribosomal RNA
Source: RNAcentral